Molecule: long non-coding RNA, 238 nt
Filed under: Gossypium barbadense (sea-island cotton)
Lineage: Eukaryota; Viridiplantae; Streptophyta; Magnoliopsida; Malvales; Malvaceae
Description: long non-coding RNA (GBAR_LNC003055)
Source: RNAcentral
ACAUAUAUAUACUAAAAUAAAUAAAUAAAUAAAUAAAAAUAAAAACCUACACUCCCCAAUCGACUUAAACUCGUCCAGUUAAAUUCCCUUCAAUUUCUCCAAUUUUUAUCAUCUUCAUAUCCACACUUAAUCCUCAUCCUAAUCCCCUUGAUUUUAGCCAACAAUUCCAAUUUGAAUUGCAUUCAAAUUUCUUCCAGCAAAUAACAAUCCUUCCCUACGUUGAAAAGAAAAAUUAAAC